RNAcentral lists this ribosomal RNA (253 nucleotides) under uncultured bacterium. RNAcentral's name for it is "partial 16S ribosomal RNA". It matches the Rfam family "Bacterial small subunit ribosomal RNA", at positions 524 to 776 of the family's 1533-position model. The record is from RNAcentral.
UACGGAGGGUGCAAGCGUUGUCCGGAUUUAUUGGGUUUAAAGGGUGCGUAGGUGGUUUGUUAAGUCUGAUGUGAAAGCCCUGGGCUCAACCUGGGAAUUGCAUUGGAUACUGGCAGGCUAGAGUGCGGUAGAGGAUGGCGGAAUUCCCGGUGUAGCAGUGAAAUGCGUAGAGAUCGGGAGGAACAUCUGUGGCGAAGGCGGCCAUCUGGACCAGCACUGACACUGAGGCACGAAAGCGUGGGGAGCAAACAGG